Marinomonas sp. MWYL1 is the source of this 61-nucleotide non-coding RNA. The record is from Rfam. NCBI's taxonomy places the organism in Bacteria, Pseudomonadati, Pseudomonadota, Gammaproteobacteria, Oceanospirillales, Oceanospirillaceae.
AACCGGAGUAGAAGCAGUCAGAUGUUUUUCAGAAGAAAUGCAUCAGGUCAUUGCUCCAUUU